GUCCGCUAACGAGCGCGAACCCUCGCUGUGUGUUAUAUGUGUCACACGGGACUGCCGGUCUUAAGCCGGAGGAAGGUGGGGAUGAUGUCAAGUCAGCAUGGCCUUUAUAUCCUGGGCUACACACACGCUACAAUGGCCAACACAAUAGGUUGCUAAGCCGCGAGGUGGCGCCAAUCCAUAAAGUUGGUCUCAGUUCAGAUUGCAGUCUGCAACUCGACUGCAUGAAGCCGGAGUUGCUAGUAACCGCAGGUCAGCAAUACUGCGGUGAAUACGUUCCCGGGUCUU
Molecule: ribosomal RNA, 285 nt
Filed under: uncultured Leptolinea sp.
Lineage: Bacteria; Bacillati; Chloroflexota; Anaerolineae; Anaerolineales; Anaerolineaceae
Description: partial 16S ribosomal RNA
Rfam family: Bacterial small subunit ribosomal RNA
Source: RNAcentral